AGAGUUUGAUCCUGGCUCAGAGCGAACGCUGGCGGCAUGCUUAACACAUGCAAGUCGCACGGGCAGGGCAACCUGUCAGUGGCGGACGGGUGAGUAACGCGUAGGUAUCUAUCCUUGGGUGGGGGACAACUGUGGGAAACUACAGCUAAUACCGCAUGAUAACUGAGGUUUAAAGGCAGUGAUCUGAUCGCGACGCUUUUUGCGUCGCGUGAAUCAGAUCACCAGAAAUUCUGGUGAUGCGAUUCACGCGAUUUGGUGACAAAUCGCGACCGCAUCACUGUCGCCUGGGGAGGAGCCUGCGUACGAUUAGCUAGUUGGUGGGGUAAAGGCCUACCAAGGCUGCGAUCGUUAGCUGGUCUGAGAGGAUGAUCAGCCACAUUGGGACUGAGACACGGCCCAAACUCCUACGGGAGGCAGCAGUGGGGAAUAUUGGACAAUGGGCGCAAGCCUGAUCCAGCAAUGCCGCGUGUGUGAAGAAGGUCUUCGGAUUGUAAAGCACUUUCGACGGGGACGAUGAUGACGGUACCCGUAGAAGAAGCCCCGGCUAACUUCGUGCCAGCAGCCGCGGUAAUACGAAGGGGGCUAGCGUUGCUCGGAAUGACUGGGCGUAAAGGGCGCGUAGGCGGAUGGCACAGUCAGAUGUGAAAUUCCCGGGCUUAACCUGGGGGCUGCAUUUGAUACGUGGUGUCUAGAGUGAGGAAGAGGGUUGUGGAAUUCCCAGUGUAGAGGUGAAAUUCGUAGAUAUUGGGAAGAACACCGGUGGCGAAGGCGGCAACCUGGUCCUUGACUGACGCUGAGGCGCGAAAGCGUGGGGAGCAAACAGGAUUAGAUACCCCCGUAGUCC
This 844-nucleotide ribosomal RNA is filed under the name uncultured bacterium. RNAcentral's name for it is "bacterial SSU rRNA". It matches the Rfam family "Bacterial small subunit ribosomal RNA", at positions 8 to 796 of the family's 1533-position model. The record is from RNAcentral.